UAGAACAACAGCGAUGCCCUAGUAACGCGCGCAGUGAAGCGCGCAACACGCUCGAAUUUGAAAUCUGGCCUCGGCCCGAGUUGUAAUCUGUAGAGGACGCUUUUGGCGCGGUGCCUUCCGAGUUCCCUGGAACGGGACGCCACAGAGGGUGAGAGCCCCGUAAGGUCGGACACCAAGCCUGUGUAAAGCCCCUUCGACGAGUCGAGUAGCUUGGGAAUGCUGCUCUAAGCGGGAGGUAUACUUCUUCUAAAGCUAAAUAUUGGCCAGAGACCGAUAGCGCACAAGUAGAGUGAUCGAAAGAUGAAAAGCACUUUGAAAAGAGGGUCAAAUAGUACGUGAAAUUGUUGAAAGGGAAGCGCUUGUGAUCAGACUCGCGCCGGGCGGAUCAUCCAGUGGUCUCCACUGGUGCACUCCGGCCGGCGCGGGCCAGCGUCGGCUGUUGCGGGGGGACAAAAGCACUGGGAACGUAGCUCUCUCCGGGGAGUGUUAUAGCCCUCUGCAGAAUACCCCCGCGGCGGCCGAGGUCCGCGCAUUGCAAGGACGCUGGCGUAAUGGUCAUCAGCGACCCGUCUUGAAACACGGACCAAGGAGUCGAGGUUUUGCGCGAGUGUUCGGGUGCAAAGCCCCAACGCGUAAUUAACGUGAACGUAGGUGAGAGCUUCGGCGCAUCAUCGACCGAUCCUGAUGUAUUCGGAUGGAUUUGAGUAGGAGCGUAAAGCCUCGGACCCGAAAGAUGGUGAACUAUGCCUGUAUAGGGUGAAGCCAGAGGAAACUCUGGUGGAGGCUCGCAGCGGUUCUGACGUGCAAAUCGAUCGUCAAAUAUGGGCAUGGGGGGGCGAAAGACUAAUCGAACCAUCUAGUAGCUGGUUACGCGAUCUUCCCCCCCCCGGAGAGAAU
This 897-nucleotide ribosomal RNA is filed under the name Phialemonium atrogriseum. RNAcentral describes it as "LSU rRNA". It matches the Rfam family "Eukaryotic large subunit ribosomal RNA", at positions 56 to 984 of the family's 3401-position model. The record is from RNAcentral. Lineage: Eukaryota; Fungi; Ascomycota; Sordariomycetes; Cephalothecales; Cephalothecaceae.